This is a long non-coding RNA of Antechinus flavipes (yellow-footed antechinus), 187 nucleotides long. RefSeq lists it as uncharacterized. Lineage: Eukaryota; Metazoa; Chordata; Mammalia; Dasyuromorphia; Dasyuridae. The transcript is spliced from 2 exons. The record is from RefSeq and is a predicted model, not a curated record.
GAAACCCAGGAAAAAAUGGCUGCUCGUCCUAUUUCAGCUUCAUCGCGGUGUUGCCAGCUCCCGGGACAAAGUUGAGAAAGGAUUCGGAGAUAUUAAGGCAUGCUUUGAAUGAAUGGAUUUGCCUCAUAAAGAACUUAAUACUUCAGCAAAAGUAAAAUUCAUCAAUAAAAAAUAAGAUUUGAUCAGA